Molecule: long non-coding RNA, 535 nt
Organism: Toxorhynchites rutilus septentrionalis
Lineage: Eukaryota; Metazoa; Arthropoda; Insecta; Diptera; Culicidae
Exons: 3
Source: RefSeq, a predicted model, not a curated record
AAAUUGCUGUUCAGCCAUUGCUGGUGAAAAAACAAAUUUGUUUACAAAACAAAUCGUAUCUUUGGGUGACAAAUGCAUUCGUUGGCUAAAAAGUUGUUCGCGUAAUACUGUAGCUAGAUAUCUACAAUAAGCGGUCGAUACAUAAUAGUGUAGAAGGAUUUGUUUAGUAUAUAUAUAUAUAUUUUUUAGUAGUACUAUCAGGCGAUGGUGACAAAAAUAACACUGAUUGUAGCUCCACUGAUUUCGCUCAGGGUGGAGGAGAAUGCUGUGCAUAUACCGGGAAGGAGAUUACCAGAUCCAGAAGAUCCGGAAAGGGAUGUUACAUUGGUUUUGCAUGAAGGCUAGAGCAAAAGGAGGUUGACAAUGAUUGCAACAGGAAAGUAACCAGUUGCGUUGGAUUUUAGAGGCGAAUUAACUGAAAAGUUUAAAGCAUCUUAAAUUAAACAUCAUCAUCAUUGCGUUGGAUGUUUUAAUUUUUGCGUUUUUUUGUAAACACUGUUGCAAUACUGCUGAUAUUUGAGUUUUUAAAAUUAGA